Long non-coding RNA from Hyla sarda, 1027 nucleotides. RefSeq lists it as uncharacterized. The transcript is spliced from 3 exons. The record is from RefSeq and is a predicted model, not a curated record. Lineage: Eukaryota; Metazoa; Chordata; Amphibia; Anura; Hylidae.
GCGGGGGUGAGGAGCGCGCGCCUGGAGGUGUAAACGGUGUUUAACCAGCAAGCACCCUGACUGGUGAGCCUGGUCCUUUAAAGGGAAGUAAUCACCACAUUUGAGCCCCUGUAUCCAUUAAAAACACUUCCUAGAGAAUUAAACAAACGUUCCUUCCAUGUUUUUAUAGUUGUUUCUGAUGACUACUCUUCAUAAAACAGGUUAUAAAACGUCCCGCGCUGUCCCCGGGGCAGUGCGGCUUUGCAUGUGGUCACCGUGCCCAGGGCAGUAAUCACACCCUCCUGUCCUGCACCCGCCUACACGGGGGUGAUACACAGCCUGGGCACUGAGGGCUCUUCUCUCCCGCAGGCCCGGAAUCAUAACAAGCUCGGGGCAUAGCAAGUCCUAGUGUCUGCAGGCUUCGCCUCUGGGUCCUAGCGCCUCCAGAUUCCUCCUCUCCUCAGCAGUGAGGGCAGCCUCGGACUUCAGCAGCUGAUCAGCAGGGACAGACUAUUUAGGAAGAAAGUGCUGAACAGCUUUUCCUUUCACUUCAGCUCCCUGCUGUUCUGGAGUUCCUGGUGGGAGGCCCUACUGGAGCCAAUGAUUGACUGCAGCAUUCCAUGCUUAGUCUGCAGGGACAUCAUUGCAGCAGCUCUGCUGGGGACUCCUAAGUAGGGGCAGCAGAGGAUCAACAUGGGAUCUGUUUCCAUAAGCAAAUGGAAACAAACAAAGCAAUUAAUGAAUGUAGCAGCUGAACUGUUAUUGGAAAUGGAAUUUACUGCAUGAAUAUGAACAUAGUGAAGAACAGAAAAAGUCAAGGCAACCUUUUCUUAUUCAUCAUAUACAGAGUAUAUAUUACUAUACUUCUGUAGUCAAGUUUAAAAUGAUGGUUAUUAUAUUAAAUGCCAAUUGUCUACUGCACAGGAUUUUAGGGUCUAAAUAUCUGGUACUGUAUGUUAAAAGAGCACUCACCUGUGGCAUUCACUAGCAUAUUUAAACAUGAAAUGCAAGACUGCAAUUUGUACUAUAAGCUAAAAAUAUUCAUGUA